CCUACGGGCGACAGCAGUGGGGGAUAUUGCACAAUGGGGGAAACCCUGAUGCAGCCACGCCGCGUGAGUGAAGAAGUAUUUCGGUAUGUAAAGCCUUAUCAGACGGGAAGAAAAUGCCAGUACCUGACCAAGAAGCCCCGGCUAACUACGUGCCGGCAGCCGCGGUAAUGCGUAGGGGGCAAGCGUUAUCCGGAUUUACUGGGUGUAAAGGGAGCGUAGGCGGUUAUGUAAGUCUGGAGUGAAAGCCCGGGGGCCAACCCCGGGACUGCUUUGGAAACUGUGUAACUGGAGUACAGGAGGGGCAGGCGGAAUUCCUGGUGUAGCGGUGAAAUGCGUAGAUAUCAGGAGGAACACCGGCGGCGAAGGCGGCCUGCUGGACUGAAACUGACACUGAGGCUCGAAAGUGUGGGUAUCAAACAGGAUUAGAUACCCGAGUAGUC
This 440-nucleotide ribosomal RNA is filed under the name uncultured bacterium. RNAcentral's name for it is "partial 16S ribosomal RNA". It matches the Rfam family "Bacterial small subunit ribosomal RNA", at positions 338 to 795 of the family's 1533-position model. The record is from RNAcentral.